CGGCUCCUACGGGAGGCAGCAGGGAAUAUUGCACAAUGGGGGAAACCCUGAUGCAGCAACGCCGCGUGAGUGAGGAAGUAUUUCGGUAUGUAAAGCUCUAUCAGCAGGGAAUAGAAAAGAAGGUACCUGAAAAAGAAGCCCCGGCUAACUACGUGCCAGCUGCCGCGGUAAUACGUAGGGGGCAAGCGUUAUCCGGAUUUACUGGGUGUAAAGGGAGCGUAGACGGAAAGGCAAGUCAGAAGUGAAAGCCCAAGGCUCAACCAUGGGACUGCUUUUGAAACUGUCAAACUAGAGUACGGGAGAGG
RNAcentral lists this ribosomal RNA (305 nucleotides) under uncultured bacterium. Its description in RNAcentral is "bacterial SSU rRNA". It matches the Rfam family "Bacterial small subunit ribosomal RNA", at positions 333 to 657 of the family's 1533-position model. The record is from RNAcentral.